RNAcentral lists this ribosomal RNA (476 nucleotides) under uncultured bacterium. RNAcentral describes it as "partial 16S ribosomal RNA". It matches the Rfam family "Bacterial small subunit ribosomal RNA", at positions 356 to 821 of the family's 1533-position model. The record is from RNAcentral.
UGGGAAUUUUGGACAAUGGCGCAAGCCUGAUCCAGCCAUGCCGCGUGCGGGAAGAAGGCCUUCGGGUUGUAAACCGCUUUUGUCAGGGAAGAAAUCUUCUGAGUUAAUACCUCGGGAGGAUGACGGUACCUGAAGAAUAAGCACCGGCUAACUACGUGCCAGCAGCCGCGGUAAUACGUAGGGGUGCAAAGCGUUAAUCGGAAUUACUGGGCGUAAAGCGUGCGCAGGCGGUUUUGUAAGACAGAGGUGAAAUCCCGGGCUCAACCUGGGAACUGCCUUUGUGACUGCAAGGCUUGAGUGCGGCANAGGGGGGAUGGAAUUCCGCGUGUAGCGUGAAAUGCGUAGAUAUGCGGAGGAAACACCGAUGGCGAAAGGCAAUCCCCUCGGGCCUGCACUGGACGCUCAUGCACGAAAGCGUGGGGAGCAAACAGAUUAGAUACCCUGGUAGUCCACGCCCUAAACGAUGUCAACUGGUU